Molecule: ribosomal RNA, 275 nt
Filed under: uncultured bacterium
Lineage: Bacteria
Description: partial 16S ribosomal RNA
Rfam family: Bacterial small subunit ribosomal RNA
Source: RNAcentral
GCGUGAGUGAAGAAGGCCUUAGGGUUGUAAAGCUCUUUCAGACGUGACGAUGAUGACGGUAGCGUCAGAAGAAGCCCCGGCUAACUUCGUGCCAGCAGCCGCGGUAAUACGAAGGGGGCUAGCGUUGUUCGGAAUUACUGGGCGUAAAGCGCACGUAGGCGGCGCGUCAAGUCAGGGGUGAAAGGCCUGGGCUCAACCCGGGAACUGCCUUUGAGACUGGCGUGCUGGAGUCCGGAAGAGGGUGGCGGAAUUCCCAGUGUAGAGGUGAAAUUCGU